This 80-nucleotide transfer RNA is filed under the name Asparagus officinalis (garden asparagus). RNAcentral's name for it is "tRNA A4U43_Leu97". It matches the Rfam family "tRNA". From Rfam's summary of the family: Transfer RNA (tRNA) molecules are approximately 80 nucleotides in length. Their secondary structure includes four short double-helical elements and three loops (D, anti-codon, and T loops). The record is from Rfam by way of RNAcentral. Lineage: Eukaryota; Viridiplantae; Streptophyta; Magnoliopsida; Asparagales; Asparagaceae.
UACAGUUUUGCCGAGUGGUCGAAGGCGCCAGAUUUAGGCUCUGGGCCGCAAGGGUGUGGGCUCAAAUCCAACAUCAGUCA